Molecule: long non-coding RNA, 2271 nt
Filed under: Oncorhynchus mykiss (rainbow trout)
Lineage: Eukaryota; Metazoa; Chordata; Actinopteri; Salmoniformes; Salmonidae
Description: lncRNA (ENSOMYG00000000605.2)
Source: RNAcentral
UUGAAGCUAAAUGCUCUGGCUCGGAUUGAUACAUUUUCUCUCCAUCUGAGGGUAUAUGUUCUUGCUCACAUAUAUCCAGUUUCUCUCCGCCUGAAGGUAUAUCCUCUGGUUCGGAUUGAUUCAGUUUCUCUCCACCUGAAGUUAUAUCCUCUGUCUCGGAUUGAUUCAGUUUCUCUCCGCCUGAAGGUAUAUCCUCUGUCUCGGAUUGAUUCAGUUUCUCUGCACCUGAAGGUAUAUCCUCUGGUUCGGAUUGAUUCAGUUUCUCUCCACCUGAAGUUAUAUCCUCUGUCUCGGAUUGAUUCAGUUUCUCUCCGCCUGAAGGUAUAUCCUCUGUCUCGGAUUGAUUCAGUUUCUCUCCACCUGAAGGUAUAUCCUCUGGUUCGGAUUGAUUCAGUUUCUCUCCACCUGAAGUUAUAUCCUCUGUCUCGGAUUGAUUCAGUUUCUCUCCACCUGAAGUUAUAUCCUCUGUCUCGGAUUGAUUCAGUUUCUCUCCACCUGAAGUUAUAUCCUCUGGUUCGGAUUGAUUCAGUUUCUCUCCGCCUGAGGGUAUAUACUCUUGCUCAGAUUGAUUCAGUUUCUCUCCACCUGAAGUUAUAUCCUCUGUCUCGGAUUGAUUCAGUUUCUCUCCUCCUGAAGGUAUCUUCUCUUGUUCAGAUUGAUUCAGAUUCUCUCCAUCUGAGGGUAUGUGUUCUUGCACAGAUAGAUUCAGUUUCUCUCCGCCUGAGGGUAUAUACUCUUGUUCAGAUUGAUUCAGUCUCUCUCCGCCUGAGGGUAUAUACUCUUGUUCAGAUUGAUUCAGUCUCUCUCCGCCUGAGGGUAUAUACUCUUGUUCAGGUUGAUUCAGUCUCUCUGAGGGUAUAUACUCUUGAUCAGGUUGAUUCAGUUUCUCGCCGCCUGAGGGUAUAUACACUUGCUCAGGUUGAUUCAGUCUCUCUGAGGGUAUAUACUCUUGCUCAGGUUGAUUCAGUCUUUCUGAGGGUAUAUACUCUUGUUCAGAUUGAUUCAGUCUCUCUGAGGGUAUAUACUCUUGUUCAGAUUGAUUCAGUCUCUCUGAGUGUAUAUACUCUUGCUCAGGUUGAUUCAGUCUCUCUCCGCCUGAGGGUAUAUACUCUUGCUCAGAUUGAUUCAGUUUCUCUCCACCUGAAGUUAUAUCCUCUGUCUCGGAUUGAUUCAGUUUCUCUCCACCUGAAGUUAUAUCCUCUGUCUCGGAUUGAUUCAGUUUCUCUCCACCUGAAGUUAUAUCCUCUGUCUCGGAUUGAUUCAGUUUCUCUCCGCCUGAAGUUAUAUCCUCUGUCUCGGAUUGAUUCAGUUUCUCUCCUCCUGAAGGUAUCUUCUCUUGUUCAGAUUGAUUCAGAUUCUCUCCACCUGAAGUUAUAUCCUCUGUCUCGGAUUGAUUCAGUUUCUCUCCGCCUGAAGUUAUAUCCUCUGUCUCGGAUUGAUUCAGUUUCUCUCCUCCUGAAGGUAUCUUCUCUUGUUCAGAUUGAUUCAGAUUCUCUCCAUCUGAUGGUAUGUGUUCUUGCACAGAUAGAUUCAGUUUCUCUCCGCCUGAGGGUAUAUACUCUUGUUCAGAUUGAUUCAGUCUCUCUCCGCCUGAGGGUAUAUACUCUUGUUCAGAUUGAUUCAGUCUCUCUCCGCCUGAGGGUAUAUACUCUUGUUCAGAUUGAUUCAGUCUCUCACCGCCUGAGGGUAUAUACACUUGCUCAGGUUGAUUCAGUCUCUCUGAGGGUAAAUACUCUUGCUCAGGUUGAUUCAGUCUCUCUGAGGGUAUAUACUCUUGCUCAGGUUGAUUCAGUCUCUCUGAGGGUAUAUACACUUGCUCAGGUUGAUUCAGUCUCUCUGAGGGUAAAUACUCUUGCUCAGGUUGAUUCAGUCUCUCUGAGGGUAUAUACUCUUGCUCAGGUUGAUUCAGUCUCUCUGAGGGUAUAUACUCUUGCUCAGGUUGAUUCAGUCUCUCUGAGGGUAUAUACUCUUGCUCAGGUUGAUUCAGUCUCUCUGAGGGUAUAUACUCUUGUUCAGAUUGAUUCAGUCUCUCUGAGUGUAUAUACUCUUGCUCAGGUUGAUUCAGUCUCUCUGAGUGUAUAUACUCUUGCUCAGGUUGAUUCAGUCUCUCUCCUCCUGAGGGUAUAUACUCUUGCUCAGAUUGAUUCAGUCUCUCUGAGUGUAUCUGCACUACCUCCUCACUGUAUAAUAUGUCUUGUGUCUGGGGAAGUUCAGUGUGAGACUCAAUUUGAAGACUCAGUACUGACUCGCUCUCAAUCAUCUGCCCAGUAA